AAAUAGAUACCCAGGUAGUCCACGCCGUAAACGAUGAGUGCUAAGUGUUAGAGGGUUUCCGCCCUUUAGUGCUGCAGCUAACGCAUUAAGCACUCCGCCUGGGGAGUACGGCCGCAAGGCUGAAAACUCAAAGGAAUUGACGGGGGCCCGCACAAGCGGUGGAGCAUGUGGUUUAAUUCGAAGCAACGCGAAGAACCUUACCAGGUCUUGACAUCCUCUGCCAACCCUAGAGAUAGGGUGUUCCCCCUUCGGGGGACAGAGUGACAGGUGGUGCAUGGUUGUCGUCAGCUCGUGUCGUGAGAUGUUGGGUUAAGUCCCGCAACGAGCGCAACCCUUGAUCUUAGUUGCCAGCAUUUAGUUGGGCGCUCUAAGGUGACUGCCGGUGACAAACCGGAGGAAGGUGGGGAUGACGUCAAAUCAUCAUGCCCCUUAUGACCUGGGCUACACACGUGCUACAAUGGAUGGUACAAAGAGCUGCGAACCCGGCGAGGGUAAGCCAAUCUCAUAAAGCCAUUCUCGGUUCGGA
RNAcentral lists this ribosomal RNA (526 nucleotides) under uncultured bacterium. RNAcentral's name for it is "bacterial SSU rRNA". It matches the Rfam family "Bacterial small subunit ribosomal RNA", at positions 776 to 1297 of the family's 1533-position model. The record is from RNAcentral.